This 254-nucleotide ribosomal RNA is filed under the name uncultured bacterium. Its description in RNAcentral is "partial 16S ribosomal RNA". It matches the Rfam family "Bacterial small subunit ribosomal RNA", at positions 15 to 252 of the family's 1533-position model. The record is from RNAcentral.
GAUCCUGGCUCAGGAUGAACGCUGGCGGCGUGCUUAACACAUGCAAGUCGAACGGGAAACUUUUCAUUGAAGCUUCGGCAGAUUUGGUCUGUUUCUAGUGGCGGACGGGUGAGUAACGCGUGGGUAACCUGCCUUAUACAGGGGGAUAACAACCAGAAAUGGUUGCUAAUACCGCAUAAGCGCACAGGACCGCAUGGUCCGGUGUGAAAAACUCCGGUGGUAUAAGAUGGACCCGCGUUGGAUUAGCUAGUUGG